GGAUGCGAUCAUACCAGCACUAAAGCACCGGAUCCCAUCAGAACUCCGAAGUUAAGCGUGCUUGGGCGAGAGUAGUACUAGGAUGGGUGACCUCCUGUGAAGUCCUCGUGUUGCAUUCC
Molecule: ribosomal RNA, 119 nt
Filed under: Triticum aestivum (bread wheat)
Lineage: Eukaryota; Viridiplantae; Streptophyta; Magnoliopsida; Poales; Poaceae
Also listed under: 4 other names
Source: RNAcentral